UCCACUCUUGAAUCCCUUCCUCUCAAAAUCUCUCUGCAACUUCAGCUAAACCCUAGCCGCCGCCACCCAAAUCCACCUUAAUACCUUUCAAUCCCUACCUAACCAGUGGGCUCCCAGGCGGGUUGAGGCGUGUACUCGUCUCCUAUGUCUAAUGGUUACCUAUUUUCAUGAUUCCAUGGAGAGAUCUUAAAGGGAUCUAGUCUAGUUAUGGUUCAACUUCUAUAUGUGGCUUUUUUUCGGCCAGCCAUAACUAUUCAAGUCAGACCCUUGACUUCUCCGUCUAGAUCGGUAACUUUUCAAAGUCUUUCUCACUUUCUCUAAGUUUUCUGCUUUAAGAGCUUUCCUAUUUUUCUUUUAUAUCGAUCUUAGAUCUACGCAGGUUAUGAAUUCUUGAUGUUUCCCAAAAGGCUUUUCUUUCAAAGUGACUCUUCGUUUUCAAAUUAGUGUUUCUUAGACUCUUUUCAAAAGAUCUUUUCUCCGAUUCUGAGUGUGUUUUAUGAUUUUACUAUGUUUAAAUAGUUUGUCCAUGUUUUCUGCUAUCUGGUUCAUCGUGUUAAAAACCUAAGUGUUUUGGUUCUACUUUGGGGUUCUGAAACCCUCUUUGUUUAUUUUACGCAUGCUUAUUUUGAUAAAGUUCUUUAUGGUUGGAUCCUCUUCUUUAUUGAUUUAGAGUUCUUACCAUUUUUAUUAAUUCGACUGUUGUUAAAAACCCUAAUUUCUUAAAAGGGUUUUCCUCACUUAUUGCUAUCAGUUUAAAGCCUUUACUUGUUUCUGUGUGUUGAUCUCUUUUACCUGUUACUAUAUUUUCUUCACUUUUGAUUCUAUGUAACUACUUGAACUUGUUGACUACUGUGCUUUGAGUAGGUUUCUUUUACUUCUAAGCCCUAGCCUACUCCUGUUACUGCUGUAUGAUUGUAUGCACCUAGUUGUUUCUUUAGUCCAUACGGUUGGUAUGGCAUAUUCAUUCUUCUAUAUUUUUAUGGAAAAUUACAGAAUAAUGAUUCUUUUUUGACUGAUAUUGAUUUCCUUAAGUUAUGACUGAUUGCAUAUUUUUGCUCAUAAACCCCUGGUUUCACUCAUUUUUUUUAAAUUGACUGGUUCCUUUCCUUUGCUGCGAUGUUUUACCUUUGCUUAACCUUUUCCCCAAUUAAGUGUGUUUUGAACUUGGACUCAAUUGUACACCAUAUAUUCCACUAUCCCUUGUAUGGCCAGAAAUCAAUAUUCCUCAAAUUUAUUUUCUUUCAUUAAUUAUCUAUGUUGGUAUCCGUUAAGCAGUAAUGCCUCAAUUAAAGGGAAGCUUUUGUGUUAAUUGAUUGAUUGUGAUUAUUUCCAUAUUUGUGUUAAGACUUUACUUAUUAAUUUAUUCUCUACCUGUUUUAAUAAAAAAUAUAAAUACCCUACCCUCUCUUCUUUAAAACACACGAUCAAUUAAGUUCAAAACAUACUCACACAUAAAAACUCUCUCUUUCUUUAAUAUUACUUGUGCUGCUGCCUUGUCUAGCCGGCUGAAAGCCAAGGCUAGACUGUGGAAUCUUGCUUGCUUUACCUUUAUGCACCUUGCUUUCUUUACUAGUAUGUCCUAGUAAAUUAUAAAACUUUAACGACAACAGGUUUCAGUUUCAUUCAUUCUUGCCUGUUGCAGUCAAGUUACAUUAUUCACAUGCUACAAUGUCUUCCCUUCCCCUUUAGAUUAAUGCAUUCCCCUAUGUGUGUUUCAAGGCAUACUCUGUCAAUCAUUUAUUCUGUACUUACUAUCCUAUGAAUCCCAACCCUCUAUCCCAUCCAAUGUGUUUGUGUUCUUCUGGCUGGUUUGUGAUCAUGCCAGUAUCAGCUAUUGCUGUGCAUGUCCAAACUAGACCCCUGUUGGGGUCAUGUGCUUAUAGAGAAAUGUGUCCCCAAAAUCCCUUGGCCCCAUUUGAAUGACUACUGAUUCUGUGUAGUUUUGAGUUUUACUACUACAAUCGAUUUCAAUCACCUAUGUCACUAACUGCUUUGAAAAUGGACUAUCAGUCCAUUUUUUUAAUAAAUCUCUUUCAACAUGUGUUCUGCACUUCCACCUAUUCUUAGAAUCUAGGUUCUGCCACUCUUGUGUGAGCCUUGCCUUGGAACCCUUGAGCUCCCUCUUAACUUGGACACAUAAGAGCUGGCCCUUCCACACUGAACUCAUUCUGUUUUCUUAUAAACAUUUGGGUGUGAGCAUUGCCCGAGAUCCCUUGAGGUCCUUAGAGGACUCUGACACACCCAUGUAUGAGAAAGUCUUUGGAACAAUAUUGGUUUUUGAGAUGGUUCAUUACAUAACUCAGAGAGGAAGUCAAGAUCAAGCUUCCUAUGGUUGUAAUUUCUUAUUUUUGCACUUCUUCUGUAAUUCAAUCAUUUGGUAUGUAAUAAUUUGUAAACAAAUAUUGGGGUGAUUAGUGAAGACGGUUGGGUAGUUAUAUAUUGUUGGUAAAUUGGGUAGAUAACAUCCUAUAUGGUCUAUUUUGAUUCAAAGUAUGGUAUGCUAGAU
This 2506-nucleotide long non-coding RNA is filed under the name Nicotiana benthamiana. Its description in RNAcentral is "long non-coding RNA (NBEN_LNC038419)". Lineage: Eukaryota; Viridiplantae; Streptophyta; Magnoliopsida; Solanales; Solanaceae. The record is from RNAcentral.